Molecule: long non-coding RNA, 641 nt
Filed under: Homo sapiens (human)
Lineage: Eukaryota; Metazoa; Chordata; Mammalia; Primates; Hominidae
Description: HSALNT0363901
Source: RNAcentral
CACACGUAGCGGCCAAGAUGGCGCUAGCGGUUGGAGCAGGGGCUCUGCUGCGACCUUUACGGUAGUGAGGUUAGGGACGAUGGGAGAGCAGCUUUGUUCCUGAAGUGCCGUCGAGGAUUAGGAUCGAGUUUCUUCGAUCGUGAGGGCAAUUAUUAGUGGCCUCUAGCCCCCCAGAUGGCAUCUUGAGGAGAGAGAAUCCACGCUACGAGAACUAACAUAGUGGACAUCGCAGUUGUCCGUAGCCGAUUUGCGGGUUACGGAGUUGUUGCAAGUAAAGAAGGGGAAAUCCGAGCGUUCUCGCGUUGGAUUUCCUCCACGUGUGAAGUGGGAAUGGUAGUGAUAUCUCGUGCUAUCUCUGUCAAGGGCAAGAAGGAGAAGGAAUUUAUUUGAGGCCCUACGACGUGAACUGCCGGGCACAGUGGCUCACUCCUGUAAUCACAACACUUUGAGAUGCCGAGUCGGGAGGAUCAUGAGGUGAGGAGUUUGAGACCAGCCUGGCCAACGUAGCGAAACCCCGCCUCUACUAAAAAUACAAAAAAACAGCCAGGCGUGGUGGCGGGCACCUGUGAUCCCAGCAACUCAGGAGGCUGAGGCAGGAGAAUAGCAUGAACCCGCGAGGCGGAGCUUGCAGUGAGCCGAGA